This 252-nucleotide ribosomal RNA is filed under the name uncultured bacterium. Its description in RNAcentral is "partial 16S ribosomal RNA". It matches the Rfam family "Bacterial small subunit ribosomal RNA", at positions 525 to 776 of the family's 1533-position model. The record is from RNAcentral.
ACGGAGGGUGCAAGCGUUGUUCGGAAUUACUGGGCGUAAAGCGCGCGCAGGCGGCAUAACAAGUCGGGUGUGAAAUCCCUGGGCUCAACCCAGGACGUGCGCCUGAAACUGUCAUGCUAGAGUUUGGGAGAGGGAUGUGGAAUUCCUGGUGUAGAGGUGAAAUUCGUAGAGAUCAGGAGGAACACUCGUGGCGAAGGCGACAUCCUGGACCAAAACUGACGCUGAGGCGCGAAAGCGUGGGGAGCAAACAGG